RNAcentral lists this ribosomal RNA (316 nucleotides) under uncultured Pseudomonas sp. RNAcentral describes it as "bacterial SSU rRNA". It matches the Rfam family "Bacterial small subunit ribosomal RNA", at positions 1072 to 1382 of the family's 1533-position model. Lineage: Bacteria; Pseudomonadati; Pseudomonadota; Gammaproteobacteria; Pseudomonadales; Pseudomonadaceae. The record is from RNAcentral.
UGUUCGGGUUAAGUCCCGUAACGAGCGCAACCCUUGUCCUUAGUUACCAGCACGUUAUGGUGGGCACUCUAAGGAGACUGCCGGUGGACAAACCGGAGGGAAGGUGGGGAUGACGUCAAGUCAUCCAUGGCCCUUACGGGCCUGGGCUACACACGUGCUACAAUGGUCGGUACAAAGGGUUGCCAAGCCGCGAGGUGGAGCUAAUCCCAUAAAACCGAUCGUAGUCCGGAUCGCAGUCUGCAACUCGACUGCGUGAAGUCGGAAUCGCUAGUAAUCGUGAAAUCAGAAUGUCACGGUGAAUACGUUCCCGGGCCUU